GUUUAGCCCUGAUUGAAGUGGCAUCCUUUUUUGAAGAAUGAAAAAAAGAUAUAACGUAAAGCAGGAAAUAGC
Molecule: small RNA, 72 nt
Filed under: Polaribacter dokdonensis DSW-5
Lineage: Bacteria; Pseudomonadati; Bacteroidota; Flavobacteriia; Flavobacteriales; Flavobacteriaceae
Description: Flavo-1 RNA
Rfam family: Flavo-1 RNA
Source: RNAcentral